UUCUUAUUGAAUGAUGACCGUCACGUGUCAUGUUCUGAUUGGAUGUCGAAUCCAUGAAAGAUGAAAUGCAUUAUUGUCAUUGACCAAUCAAAACAUGAUACGUGACAGUCAUUAUCC
Non-coding RNA from Glycine soja, 117 nucleotides. The record is from Rfam. NCBI's taxonomy places the organism in Eukaryota, Viridiplantae, Streptophyta, Magnoliopsida, Fabales, Fabaceae.